Molecule: long non-coding RNA, 1933 nt
Organism: Monodelphis domestica (gray short-tailed opossum)
Lineage: Eukaryota; Metazoa; Chordata; Mammalia; Didelphimorphia; Didelphidae
Source: Ensembl
GCGUGAAGUACGGGGAACUGCUCGUCCCUCCUUCCCUUUUUUUAGUCACGGGGCAGGAAUGCAGGCCGAACGCCGCACAGCUCGGGGACCGCCCCCACCCCUCCCGGUGGUUCCCCACAGACAAGCCAAACUGCCGCGCGGAGGCCGGAAGAGAAGGGCUGCAAAACCAGCUCCGGGGCCGAAGGACCAAACAAACCACGCCGCCACCCCGAAGCCGAAGGGCCCUCGGCUCCCGCCCAGCUCCGGCCCCGGCCCCGCUCCCGCCCGGCUCCCGCCCGGCUCCCGCCAGGCUCCCGCCCGGCCCCGGCCCCGGCCCCGCUCCGGCCCCAUUUCCCUUCGGCCAGCCUCAGGCCCCGGAAGUCAACAAGUCCAGCCAGGGAACGCGGAGGACGCGCACGGAGCCAGCCGAGAGCCAGGCAGGCCGAGGCUCCGAGCGGCGGAGGGAGGAGUUUGUCCCAUUCGGCCGCGUCGGGCCUAUGACUGGCACUUCCUAAAUUCUGGCAUCACACAUGGUGGUGCCGUGCUGGCUGGUCGAGAAUCGCUGUUUUCCUGGCGUUAAUCAUCAGGUCAACAUGAGCAGAAUUUUGGCUCGGACAGGACAUCGAGUUCUCUCUGUAGAGAAUCGAUCCAUCUCCUAUUGCUUCUCGCUCCGAGGGGCUGUCAGCUGUCACGGACCCACUCUCAGUUCCUUUCCAAGGUUUCAAGACUUUACCAGCAGUGCAGUAGCUGACUGAUGUCCCUUGUGUCAUUCCUAAAGGCAUCUGACAACAUGCUAAAAACCUGGGAGCAAGCACACAGCCCUCCUUCACUCACUGGAAACAGGAACGUGAAGAGCAUUGUUAUGUCAUCAUUGAACUGGCAUAGAAUACUGAUUAAAUCUCUUUUUGCUAUGAACGUCCCCAAAGCCUCACAGCUGGCAGACCCAUUGCUUAUAGCGAAUGAAGAAAUUUCACCAGAUGUGGAGCAGCCCAUUUCCACUGGCAGCAUUACUUUGCAGGGAUAUAGACAUAGAUGAGGAGGCUGAUGCCUACGUGGUCAGAGUGCCCUUUGUGUUGGGGAGGUUCUGAAGGAAAGUGUGCAAGAAAAGAAGUUCUGCAGAGAUGUGCUAACUUCAUUGUGCUAGGCCUGUGAUACCUGGACAUUGCUUUCAUUUGAGUAGUCUUAGGAAGAUUCUGAAGAUCACCUGGCAAGAUGAGGUACCAGACCCUGAAGUCCUUUCUUGAGUUGAACUGUCCAGCAUUCACAUUCUGCUGCGGAGAGUGCAACUCUGAUGGGCUGGCCAGAUUGAAUGCCAAAUGCACACUUACCUAAAAACUAUUUUAGGAGAACUCACACAAGUCAAGUGCUCACACAGAGGUGAGAAGAAUUGAUAGAAGGUCCCUCUGAAGUAUCCCCUCUACCCCAGAAGCAGAGCAUAACUCCAGAACAUGGGUAACAUUCAUGAAUUGGCUGGAAAAAUAAGUAAAAGGUAAAGAAGAUGAUGGCCAAAGAAAGCUACUAUGGCAAUAGGGAAGAUAAAAAUACAAACUCAGAAGAGGACAGCAAUGCCAAAACACAUCUUUUUUUCCUGAAAGGAAAAUGUGAAAUGUUGUCAAAUUCAAAAUGAACUCCUGGAGGAACUUGAUAAGGAUUUUAAAAAUUAAAAGAGGUAAGAGAAAAAUCAGGAAAGGAAAGGAAAAUGAUGCAAGAGAGACUGAAAAAAGAGCCAACAGCUUGGUAAAGGAAGCACAAAAAAUAGAAUAAGCUACACAAACAUUCACUAAAGAAAUCAACUCCUUAAGAACUAGGAUUGCCCAAAAGAAAAAGAAGGUACAAGUGUUCAGUGAAGUGUCAAAAAUUAGAAUUGGGAAAUUAAAAGCUUUAUGUCUCCAGAAGAUAUAAAGAAACAAUCAAAUCAAAUAAAAAUAAUGAAAAAAAGAGAAAAAGUGUAAAG